CCUACGUGUGGCAGCAGUGAGGAAUAUUGGUCAAUGGGCGCGAGCCUGAACCAGCCAAGUAGCGUGAAGGAUGCCUGCCCUACGGGUUGUAAACUUCUUUUAUAAAGGAAUAAAGUGAGGCACGUGUGCCUUUUUGUAUGUACUUUAUGAAUACGGAUCGGCUAACUACGUGCCAACAGCCGCGGUAAUACGGAGGAUCCGAGCGUUAUCCGGAUGUAUUGGGUUGAAAGGGAGAGUAGAUGGGUUGUUAAGUCAGUUGUGAAAGUUUGCGGCUCAAGCGUAAAAUUGCAAUUGAUACUGGCAGUCUUGAGUACAGGUGAGGUAGGCGGAAUUCGUGGUGUAGCGGUGAAAUGCUUAGAUAUCACGAAGAACUCCGAUUGCGAAGGCAGCUUACUAAACUGCCACUGACAUUGAUGCUCGAAAGUGUGGGUAUCAAACAGGAUUAGAUACCCCAGUAGUC
Molecule: ribosomal RNA, 460 nt
Filed under: uncultured bacterium
Lineage: Bacteria
Description: partial 16S ribosomal RNA
Rfam family: Bacterial small subunit ribosomal RNA
Source: RNAcentral